UACGAAGGGAGCGAGCGUUGUUCGGAAUUACUGGGCUUAAAGCGUGCGUAGGCGGACAAGAAAGUCAGAAGUGAAAUCCCGGGGCUUAACCUCGGAACUGCUUUUGAAACUUCUUGUCUGGAAUUCGGAAGAGGUUGGCGGAAUACCCAGUGUAGAGGUGAAAUUCGCAGAUAUUGGGUAGAACACCGGUGGCGAAGGCGGCCAACUGGUCCGACAUUGACGCUGAGGCACGAAAGCGUGGGGAGCAAACAGG
RNAcentral lists this ribosomal RNA (253 nucleotides) under uncultured bacterium. Its description in RNAcentral is "partial 16S ribosomal RNA". It matches the Rfam family "Bacterial small subunit ribosomal RNA", at positions 524 to 776 of the family's 1533-position model. The record is from RNAcentral.